Molecule: long non-coding RNA, 1125 nt
Filed under: Homo sapiens (human)
Lineage: Eukaryota; Metazoa; Chordata; Mammalia; Primates; Hominidae
Description: long intergenic non-protein coding RNA 293
Source: RNAcentral
AGACAUUGUGACAUAUAUCUAGGCAAAUUGCCUAGAAGUGAAUCCCCUCUCCUGCUUAAGUCCUUCCCACAGAGAGCGGUUUGAUAUGUCACUGAAACCAGCAUCCAGGUGGUAUUGCUCCAUAUGCCUGAGACCCUAACAAAAGCCUAAUUACAACUCAUAUGCCUGGAGCCAGGACAUGUGCAGGAUGCCAUGAUGGUCCAAGUUAUAUUGGGAUUCAGCCAAUAGAAGAUAUUUUGCCUGUCAUCCCUAAGCUUAGGACAAUAGACUCUGCCAAGAGAGGGGAUUAUUACAUAUUGCAGAGCCCAGCACCUAGGUGGAGUGACUCUCAUCUUUUUCUUCUACCCCGUAUAUAGCCAGCUUGGUGACCUACUAUUUGAGUCUAUACCCAGGCCCAGACCACAGAUGAAAUUGUGCAAUAUGUGGAACAAACACCUAAACAAUAUAUAACACCUUCCUUGGCUCUGUCUACAAAGGGCACUUUUAUAUAUCACUGGGACCAUCAACCAGGUGAUGUUGUGCCAUAUAACUGAGACCGUAUCAAAAGCCUAAUAACAAGACGUAUGUCUGGAGCCCCGAUAUGCACAGGAUGGUGAUAUAACCCUCUUCUCUGGAAUGGGCCCCACACAAAGGAAGGAUAGUGACAUAUUGCAAGCCCAGGCACACAGGCCCAGAGCACAGUUGAAAUUGUGACAUAUGUACACCAAGCAACCAAGCAAUGUAUAACACCUCAUUUGGCAAUGGAAUCGAGGGCACUUUUACAUAUCACUGAGACCAGCGCCCAGCUGAUGUGAAAUAUUGGCCUGAACCCUGCCUACAAAAGCAUUGUGGCUUUUAUCUAGCUCCAUUACAUAAGUGAUGUGACUUCCUUCUACUGCCUUGGCCCUGCACUUAUGGUGAAUCGUGACACAAAAUUGGGUAGAGCAACCAGCCUGGGCCCUGACCAGCACAGAGAUUGAGGCAUAUUGCUGAACCCAGGACCAAGAUGAAGUCACUCUCCUGCCUUGAUCCUGCACACAGGGACCCUUGUGACAUAUAUACAGGCCAAUUGCCUAGGUAAAGUUUGUCUCCUCUCCUGCCUAAGCCCUGCCCAUGGGGAGGAUUUAGAUAUAUCACUGAAACCAG